CCUACGGGUGGCAGCAGUGAGGAAUAUUGGUCAAUGGGCGCGAGCCUGAACCAGCCAAGUAGCGUGAAGGAUGACUGCCCUACGGGUUGUAAACUUCUUUUAUCAAGGAAUAAAGUGAGGCACGUGUGCCUUUUUGUAUGUACUUUAUGCAUAAUGAUCGGCUAACUCCGUGCCUACAGCCGCGGUAAUAAGGAGGAUGCGAGCGGUAUCCGGAUUUAUUGGGUUUAAAGGGAGCGUAGAUGGGUUGUUAAGUCAGUGGUGAAAGUUUGCGGCUGAAACGUAAAAUGGCAAUGGAUACUGGCAGUCUUGAGUAGAGUUGAGGUAGGCGGAAUGCGUGGUGUAGCGGUGAAAUGCUUAGAUAUCACGAAGAACUCCGAUUGCGAAGGCAGCUUACUAACGUGCCACUGACAUUGAUGCUCGAAAGUGUGGGUAUCAAACAGGAUUAGAUACCCGAGUAGUC
This 460-nucleotide ribosomal RNA is filed under the name uncultured bacterium. Its description in RNAcentral is "partial 16S ribosomal RNA". It matches the Rfam family "Bacterial small subunit ribosomal RNA", at positions 338 to 795 of the family's 1533-position model. The record is from RNAcentral.